UUGCAAUGGGCGGAACCUGAUGCAGCACGCCGCGUGAGUGAUGAAGGCCUUCGGGUUGUAAACCUCUGUCACCAGGGGCGAAGGUGUCGGUUCCCCUGCAGGAGUGCCCGGACCUUAUCAUGACCCUACCCCCACGUAUGUAACGUCGCCGCGAUAAAUAUAAUAA
This 166-nucleotide ribosomal RNA is filed under the name uncultured Rhodococcus sp. Its description in RNAcentral is "partial 16S ribosomal RNA". The record is from RNAcentral. Lineage: Bacteria; Bacillati; Actinomycetota; Actinomycetes; Mycobacteriales; Nocardiaceae.